Molecule: ribosomal RNA, 374 nt
Filed under: uncultured bacterium
Lineage: Bacteria
Description: bacterial SSU rRNA
Rfam family: Bacterial small subunit ribosomal RNA
Source: RNAcentral
UACGAAGGGGGCUAGCGUUGUUCGGAAUCACUGGGCGUAAAGCGUACGUAGGCGGACCGUUAAGUCGGAGGUGAAAUCCUGGGGCUCAACCCCAGAACUGCCUUCGAUACUGGCGGUCUCGAGUCCGGAAGAGGUGAGUGGAACUGCCAGUGUAGAGGUGAAAUUCGUAGAUAUUGGCAAGAACACCAGUGGCGAAGGCGGCUCACUGGUCCGGUACUGACGCUGAGGUACGAAAGCGUGGGGAGCAAACAGGAUUAGAUACCCUGGUAGUCCACGCCGUAAACGAUGGAAGCCAGCCGUCGGGCAGCAUGCUGUUCGGUGGCGCAGCUAACGCAUUAAGCUUCCCGCCUGGGGAGUACGGUCGCAAGAUUAAA